RNAcentral lists this small nuclear RNA (24 nucleotides) under Arabidopsis thaliana (thale cress). RNAcentral describes it as "snRNA_18636". The record is from RNAcentral. Lineage: Eukaryota; Viridiplantae; Streptophyta; Magnoliopsida; Brassicales; Brassicaceae.
GUGCAUAUCUCGGUGUAGUAUAUU